Chionomys nivalis (European snow vole) is the source of this 588-nucleotide long non-coding RNA. RefSeq lists it as uncharacterized. The record is from RefSeq and is a predicted model, not a curated record. The transcript has 3 exons. Lineage: Eukaryota; Metazoa; Chordata; Mammalia; Rodentia; Cricetidae.
CAGAGACUUCGUGCCAGCAUCAGAAAAUGGAGAAGGCCAUGCACUCAGCCAGAUUUCUGUCGUGCUUCCAUUUCACCAAGGUUGAUGCCCACAUGCUCUUCUGACCAGCUUGAAUGUGAGAAACAAAAUUAAAGGCGCAUUCAGAAGGGAAGAGCCGGUGAAGCCACGAGACCCAGAAAGCAACCUCUAGGGGUCAGAACCUUACAGGACACUUGGCCCUAAAAGCGAAGUUCCUGAACAUUCUUCCUCCACACACACAGUGGGAUCCCGCCCGUGACUCCCUGAGAGGAAACUAACGGGGAGGAGCCCUGGGAGCGGGCUCUGCGUGGACAGAGGGUACUCGGGGCUCAGCAUCUCCUCUCCACCAAUCCCCACCGUCCUCUGUGACCUGACCCAGAGCCACAGGAGGCUGCAUUGGCAGUGGCAGGUGGACAAAGACCUGCCCAGCCACGGACAGCCUUAACCCUUUCCAGACAACCUGGGGAAAUAAGGAAAAGCUGACUGGAAAUGAGGUGGAGGAAGAUGGACGGUUGGGAGGACCAAGGAAGAAAGAUGGAGACCUGAAGGCAAACGAAAGAAAGGAAAUAG